AUGAACGCUGGCGGCGUGCCUAAUACAUGCCAGUCGAGCGAACAGACGAGGAGCUUGCUCCUCUGACGUUAGCGGCGGACGGGUGAGUAACACGUGGAUAACCUACCUAUAAGACUGGGAUAACUUCGGGAAACCGGAGCUAAUACCGGAUAAUAUAUUGAACCGCAUGGUUCAAUAGUGAAAGACGGUUUUGCUGUCACUUAUAGAUGGAUCCGCGCCGCAUUAGCUAGUUGGUAAGGUAACGGCUUACCAAGGCGACGAUGCGUAGCCGACCUGAGAGGGUGAUCGGCCACACUGGAACUGAGACACGGUCCAGACUCCUACGGGAGGCAGCAGUAGGGAAUCUUCCGCAAUGGGCGAAAGCCUGACGGAGCAACGCCGCGUGAGUAAUGAAGGUCUUCGGAUCGUAAAACUCUGUUAUUAGGGAAGAACAAAUGUGUAAGUAACUAUGCACGUCUUGACGGUACCUAAUCAGAAAGCCACGGCUAACUACGUG
This 496-nucleotide ribosomal RNA is filed under the name uncultured bacterium. RNAcentral's name for it is "partial 16S ribosomal RNA". It matches the Rfam family "Bacterial small subunit ribosomal RNA", at positions 29 to 507 of the family's 1533-position model. The record is from RNAcentral.